AGGAUCAACGCUGGCGGCGUGCAUGAGACAUGCAAGUCGAACGGACACCACGGGGCUUGCUCUGUGGUGUUAGUGGCGGACGGCUGAGUAACGCGUAGGUGACCUGCCCCGAAGUGGGGAAUAACUGCCCGAAAGGGUGGCUAAUACCGCAUGUGGUGAUGCGUUCAUUCGCAUCAAUAAAGCCGCAAGGCGCUUCGGGAGGGGCCUGCGUCCGAUUAGCUCGUUGGUGGGGUGAUGGCCUACCAAGGCGGUGACGGGUAGCCGGGCCUGAGAGGGCGACCGGGCCACGACUGGGACUGAGACACGGCCCAGACUCCUACGGGAGGCAGCAGUGGGGAAUAUUGCGCAAUGGGCGGAAGCCUGACGCAGCGACGCCGCGUGGGGGAUGACGGCCUUCGGGUUGUAAACCGCUUUCAGUAGGGACGAAGUUCACAUGACGGUACCUACAGAAGAAGGACCGGCCAACUACGUGCCAGCAGCCGC
Molecule: ribosomal RNA, 483 nt
Filed under: uncultured bacterium
Lineage: Bacteria
Description: SSU rRNA
Rfam family: Bacterial small subunit ribosomal RNA
Source: RNAcentral